Molecule: unclassified non-coding RNA, 266 nt
Filed under: fungal sp.
Lineage: Eukaryota; Fungi
Description: partial contains 5.8S ribosomal RNA, internal transcribed spacer 2, and large subunit ribosomal RNA
Rfam family: Eukaryotic large subunit ribosomal RNA (bases 210-266)
Source: RNAcentral
GUGAGUCAUCGAAUCUUUGAACGCAUAUGGCACCCUCUGGCUCUGCCAGGGGGUAUGCCUGUUUGAGAAUCAUUCAUCCCUUUGGCCACCUGGCACAUCUGUCCGGGUGGUCAGACAUGGACCUUCACCGCUGAUCGUCUUGAAUGCAUGCACGGCUGCCGUGGCAAGGGAAGCGAUUCCGUUGAUGUCGACAGCCGUCCCCUGUGCAAUGAUCUCAAAUCAGGCAGGACCACCCGCUGAACUUAAGCAUAUCAAUAAGCGGAGGA